RNAcentral lists this ribosomal RNA (1174 nucleotides) under Kosakonia arachidis. RNAcentral's name for it is "bacterial LSU rRNA". It matches the Rfam family "Bacterial large subunit ribosomal RNA", at positions 1 to 1215 of the family's 2925-position model. The record is from RNAcentral. Lineage: Bacteria; Pseudomonadati; Pseudomonadota; Gammaproteobacteria; Enterobacterales; Enterobacteriaceae.
UGAGGUUAAGCGACUAAGCGUACACGGUGGAUGCCCUGGCAGUCAGAGGCGAUGAAGGACGUGCUAAUCUGCGAAAAGCGCCGGCGAGGUGAUAUGAACCUUUGACCCGGCGAUGUCCGAAUGGGGAAACCCAGUGUGACUCGUCACACUAUCAUUAACUGAAUCCAUAGGUUAAUGAGGCGAACCGGGGGAACUGAAACAUCUAAGUACCCCGAGGAAAAGAAAUCAACCGAGAUUCCCCCAGUAGCGGCGAGCGAACGGGGAGGAGCCCAGAGCCUGAAUCAGCUUGUGUGUUAGUGGAACGGUCUGGAAAGUCCGGCGAUACAGGGUGACAGCCCCGUACAUGAAAACGCACAGGUUGUGAGCUCGAUGAGUAGGGCGGGACACGUGGUAUCCUGUCUGAAUAUGGGGGGACCAUCCUCCAAGGCUAAAUACUCCUGACUGACCGAUAGUGAACCAGUACCGUGAGGGAAAGGCGAAAAGAACCCCGGCGAGGGGAGUGAAAAAGAACCUGAAACCGUGUACGUACAAGCAGUGGGAGCCUCUUAAUGGGGUGACUGCGUACCUUUUGUAUAAUGGGUCAGCGACUUAUAUUCUGUAGCAAGGUUAACCGAAUAGGGGAGCCGAAGGGAAACCGAGUCUUAACUGGGCGUUAAGUUGCAGGGUAUAGACCCGAAACCCGGUGAUCUAGCCAUGGGCAGGUUGAAGGUUGGGUAACACUAACUGGAGGACCGAACCGACUAAUGUUGAAAAAUUAGCGGAUGACCUGUGGCUGGGGGUGAAAGGCCAAUCAAACCGGGAGAUAGCUGGUUCUCCCCGAAAGCUAUUUAGGUAGCGCCUCGUGAAUUCAUCUCCGGGGGUAGAGCACUGUUUCGGCUAGGGGGCCAUCCCGGCUUACCAACCCGAUGCAAACUACGAAUACCGGAGAAUGUUAUCACGGGAGACACACGGCGGGUGCUAACGUCCGUCGUGAAGAGGGAAACAACCCAGACCGCCAGCUAAGGUCCCAAAGUCAUGGUUAAGUGGGAAACGAUGUGGGAAGGCCCAGACAGCCAGGAUGUUGGCUUAGAAGCAGCCAUCAUUUAAAGAAAGCGUAAUAGCUCACUGGUCGAGUCGGCCUGCGCGGAAGAUGUAACGGGGCUAAACCAUGCACCGAAGCUGCGGCAGCGACACU